UUUCCGUAGGUGAACCUGCGGAAGGAUCAUUAUUGAAUAAACCUGAUGUGACUGUUAGCUGGCUUUUCGAAGCAUGUGCUCGUCCGUCAUCUUUAAUCUCUCCACCUGUGCACAUUUUGUGGUCUUGGAUACCUCUCGAGGCAACUCGGAUUUUAGGAUCGCCGUGCUGCACAAGUCGGCUUUCCUUUCAUUUCCAAGACUAUGUUUUUAUAUACACCAAAGUAUGUUUAAAGAAUGUCAUCAAUAGGAACUUGUUUCCUAUAAAAUUAUACAACUUUCAGCAACGGAUCUCUUGGCUCUC
Molecule: unclassified non-coding RNA, 301 nt
Filed under: plant metagenome
Description: partial contains small subunit ribosomal RNA, internal transcribed spacer 1, and 5.8S ribosomal RNA
Source: RNAcentral